CAGGCCUAACACAUGCAAGUCGAGCGAGGGAAACUCUUCGGAGUGGAACUAGCGGCGGACGGGUGAGUAACACGUGGGCAACCUGCCUCGUAGAGGGGAAUAGCCUUUCGAAAGGAAGAUUAAUACCCCAUAAGAUUGUAGUUCCGCAUGGAAUAGCAAUUAAAGGAGUAAUCCGCUACGAGAUGGGCCCGCGUCGCAUUAGCUAGUUGGUAAGGUAAUGGCUUACCAAGGCGACGAUGCGUAGCCGACCUGAGAGGGUGAUCGGCCACAUUGGGACUGAGACACGGCCCAGACUCCUACGGGAGGCAGCAGUGGGGAAUAUUGCACAAUGGGGGAAACCCUGAUGCAGCAACGCCGCGUGAGUGAUGACGGUCUUCGGAUUGUAAAGCUCUGUCUUCAGGGACGAUAAUGACGGUACCUGAGGAGGAAGCCACGGCUAACUACGUGCCAGCAGCCGCGGUAAUACGUAGGUGGCGAGCGUUGUCCGGAUUUACUGGGCGUAAAGGGAGCGUAGGCGGAUCUUUAAGUGGGAUGUGAAAUACCCGGGCUUAACCUGGGUGCUGCAUUCCAAACUGGGGAUCUAGAGUGCAGGAGAGGAAAGUGGAAUUCCUAGUGUAGCCGGUGAAAUUCGUNAGAUAUUAAGGAAGAACACCUAGUGGCCGAAGGCGGGCUCACUGGCCCCGGAACUGGACGCUGAAGGUACGAAAAGCGGGGGGGGAAGCAAACAAGGA
This 731-nucleotide ribosomal RNA is filed under the name uncultured Clostridium sp. RNAcentral's name for it is "bacterial SSU rRNA". It matches the Rfam family "Bacterial small subunit ribosomal RNA", at positions 43 to 778 of the family's 1533-position model. The record is from RNAcentral. Lineage: Bacteria; Bacillati; Bacillota; Clostridia; Eubacteriales; Clostridiaceae.